AACACUGUUAACCUGCGGUACCUGCGGAAGGAUCAUUACGAAAAGAGUUUGAAAAAAACUCAUUAAACCCAUUGUGAAUCUAUCUAUUCAGUUGCUUCGGCAGGCGGCCCCAGGGCGGGACCUAUGCCUGUAUUUUAGCAGGUGUCUGCCGAAGGAUUUUUAAACUCUAGCUGUUUAAUGGUCUUCUGAGUACUAUAAAAAAAAGUUAAAACUUUCAGCAAUGGAUCUCAGAUCGGAAGA
Molecule: unclassified non-coding RNA, 240 nt
Filed under: soil metagenome
Description: partial contains 5.8S ribosomal RNA, internal transcribed spacer 2, and large subunit ribosomal RNA
Source: RNAcentral